GAUUGAUGGCACAUUAUUCUAGUCAAUUGAUUCGUUAGGAAGACGGGGAUAAAAGACCUUUAAAGAGCAUAUCUAUGAGGCCAUUGGUGUUUGCUUUAGAUGCCCAAUCUAGGGUGGAUGCUGAUGAUGAGAGUAAUGGAUAGAAUGUAAUGGCAUAUAUUUAAUUCCAUUAUUCGUGGAGACCUAUCUUUGUAGUAAAUCUAUACGGAAACUGAUGAUUUAUUAUGAACUAGGAUUAAACCUGCUAUGUGGUGAUGAGCUAUGAGCAGUGUAGCUUGUCUUGAGUGAAGGCUUUGGGAUUAACUAAGGUAUUAUGAUAAUCGGCCAAUUAUGAUAAUAUUCGUGUUAUGAAAUUACCUUUGCAAAAGAGAACUAAUAACGAUGCGUUGGUGAGGAAAUCUCCUAGAGUGCAGGAUAUGGGAUUGCAGUGGGAACUAAGUGGCAAUCAAGUCGUAUGAUGUGGAAACACCAUGCUGUCUUUUUUAAAGGGGAACCGCAAUACUGGUAACGGUAUGUAGAAGAUAGGGAAAUCCUACUUGACCUAAGUCUCAAAGUUAAUCAUAUCUAAUA
This 570-nucleotide small RNA is filed under the name pig gut metagenome. The record is from RNAcentral.